UACAGGAUGUGCCCAUAAUAAAUUUCCGUUUCCGUGUAGCAAUGGUUACUGGAACGUCGCCCUGAUUGUU
Non-coding RNA from Yersinia pseudotuberculosis IP 32953, 70 nucleotides. Lineage: Bacteria; Pseudomonadati; Pseudomonadota; Gammaproteobacteria; Enterobacterales; Yersiniaceae. The record is from Rfam.